Molecule: ribosomal RNA, 445 nt
Filed under: uncultured bacterium
Lineage: Bacteria
Description: bacterial SSU rRNA
Rfam family: Bacterial small subunit ribosomal RNA
Source: RNAcentral
GCCAGACUCCUACGGGAGGCAGCAGUGGGGAAUAUUGCACAAUGGGCGCAAGCCUGAUGCAGCGACGCCGCGUGAGCGAAGAAGUAUUUCGGUAUGUAAAGCUCUAUCAGCAGGGAAGAAAAUGACGGUACCUGACUAAGAAGCUCCGGCUAAAUACGUGCCAGCAGCCGCGGUAAUACGUAUGGAGCAAGCGUUAUCCGGAAUUACUGGGUGUAAAGGGAGCGUAGACGGAUGUGCAAGUCUGAUGUGAAAGGCGGGGGCUCAACCCCUGGACUGCAUUGGAAACUGUAAAUCUUGAGUGCCGGAGAGGUAAGCGGAAUUCCUAGUGUAGCGGUGAAAUGCGUAGAUACCACGCAGAACUCCGAUUGCGAAGGCAGCAUACCGGCGCGCAACUGACGCUCAUGCACGAAAGCGUGGGUAUCGAACAGGAUUAGAUACCCGGGUA